AUGCACGCUGGCGGCGUGCCUAAUACAUGCAAGUCGAGCGAACAGACGAGGAGCUUGCUCCUCUGACGUUAGCGGCGGACGGGUGAGUAACACGUGGAUAACCUACCUAUAAGACUGGGAUAACUUCGGGAAACCGGAGCUAAUACCGGAUAAUAUAUUGAACCGCAUGGUUCAAUAGUGAAAGACGGUUUUGCUGUCACUUAUAGAUGGAUCCGCGCCGCAUUAGCUAGUUGGUAAGGUAACGGCUUACCAAGGCAACGAUGCGUAGCCGACCUGAGAGGGUGAUCGGCCACACUGGAACUGAGACACGGUCCAGACUCCUACGGGAGGCAGCAGUAGGGAAUCUUCCGCAAUGGGCGAAAGCCUGACGGAGCAACGCCGCGUGAGUGAUGAAGGUCUUCGGAUCGUAAAACUCUGUUAUUAGGGAAGAACAAAUGUGUAAGUAACUAUGCACGUCUUGACGGUACCUAAUCAGAAAGCCACGGCUAACUACGCG
This 496-nucleotide ribosomal RNA is filed under the name uncultured bacterium. Its description in RNAcentral is "partial 16S ribosomal RNA". It matches the Rfam family "Bacterial small subunit ribosomal RNA", at positions 29 to 507 of the family's 1533-position model. The record is from RNAcentral.